CCUACGGGAGGCAGCAGUGGGGAAUUUUCCRCAAUGGGGGAAACCCUGACGCAGCAACGCCGCGUGGAGGAUGAAGUCCUUUGGGWCGUAAACUCCUUUCGWCCSGGACGAUACUGACGGUACCGGUGGAAGAAGCCCCGGCUAACUCYGUGCCAGCAGCCGCGGUAAU
This 169-nucleotide ribosomal RNA is filed under the name uncultured bacterium. RNAcentral describes it as "partial 16S rRNA". It matches the Rfam family "Bacterial small subunit ribosomal RNA", at positions 338 to 524 of the family's 1533-position model. The record is from RNAcentral.